UUUAGUAAGGUGUUAUGGGCACGCUAUAUUUUGGUUAUAACGGGGACUUGUAGUCUGCUUUUC
Molecule: transfer RNA, 63 nt
Filed under: Spirometra theileri
Lineage: Eukaryota; Metazoa; Platyhelminthes; Cestoda; Diphyllobothriidea; Diphyllobothriidae
Description: tRNA-Gln
Source: RNAcentral